Non-coding RNA from Xiphophorus couchianus (Monterrey platyfish), 759 nucleotides. The record is from the annotation of a RefSeq genome assembly. Lineage: Eukaryota; Metazoa; Chordata; Actinopteri; Cyprinodontiformes; Poeciliidae.
UUCAAUUUCUAGUAUAGUUUUGCCGAUGGCAGCAUAAAAAAGAGCUCAGACAGUCAUUUUGCAAAGCACACAAGACUACACAAUACCUAAAAUAUAUGAUUGUACCUGUGAUGAGAAAUUAUAUAAUCUCAUAGAUACAAAAUCCCUGUUGGAGUCAGUCAGAACAUUUCCAUAGAACCACUUUGCAUCAGCAGCUCCAUGCUCCAGCGCUCUGGGAGAGUUUAUAGUCCUGACAGUUGAACACUGGAUGACUGACAGCUGUCCUUCAUCACAACAGAAGACACAGAAAUCCUCCUCAUCAAAAACAUGACUUUGAUCUGCAUCCUCAUCUGGACUCUCCUCUGCUGCUGCUUCACAGAGUCCAUAAUCCAGGUCACAGUGACUCAGCCUGCAGCCGUGAGAACUGAUCUUGGAGGAUCUGCCACCAUCACCUGUAGGACCAACUAUGGAGUAUAUAGCAGUAGCUAUUUACACUGGUACCAGCAGAAAGACAGAGCAGCACCGAAACUGCUCAUGUACAUCACCAGCACUCGAGCAUCAGGGACUCCAAGUCGUUUUACAGGCAGUGGAUCAAACUCUGACUUCACUCUGACCAUCAGUGGAGUUCAGGCUGAAGAUGCUGCAGUUUAUUACUGUAAGGGAGUUUUUGACUCAAGUAAAUACGAGCUGUAUACACAGUGGAAAACUGUCGUACAAAAACCUGUUUUGGCUGAACUGAAACUGAAAAUCACUGUUGCUGACACACUUCAACACACAUAA